UCCUGGCUCAGGACGAACGCUGGCGGUUGUGCCUAAUACAUGCAAGUCGAGCGAGCUGAACCAACAGCCAACUUCGGUGAUGACGUUGGGAACGCGAGCGGCGGAUGGGUGAGUAACACGUGGGGAACCUGCCCCAUAGUCUGGGAUACCACUUGGAAACAGGUGCGGCCCCGGAUAAGAAAGCAGAUCGCAUGAUCAGCUUAUAAAAGUGCGGCGUAAGCUGUCGCUAUGGGAUGGCCCCGCGGUGCAUUAGCUAGUUGGUAGGGUAACGGCCUACCAAGGCAAUGAUGCAUAGCCGAGUUGAGAGGCCUUAUCGGCCACAUUGGGACUGAGACACGGCCCAAACUCCUCGGGAGGCAGCAGUAGGGAAUCUUCCACAAUGGACGAAAGUCUGAUGGAGCAACGCCGCGUGAGUGAAGAAGGUUUUCGGAUCGUAAAGCUCUGUUGUUGGUGAAGAAGGAUAGAGGUAGUAACUGGCCUUUAUUUGACGGUAAUCAACCAGAAAGUCACGGCUAACUACGUGCCAGCAGCCGCGGUGCGUACGUAGGUGGCAAGCGUGUCCGGAUUUAUUGGGCGUAAAGCGAGCGCAGGCGGAAGAAUAAGUCUGAUGUGAAAGCCCUCGGCUUAACCGAGGAACUGCAUCGGAAACUGUUUUUCUUGAGUGCAGAAGAGGAGAGUGGAACUCCAUGUAGCGGUGGAAAAUGCGUAGAUAUAUGGAAGAACACCAGUGGCGAAGGCGGCUCUCUGGUCUGCAACUGACGCUGAGGCUCGAAAGCAUGGGUAGCGAACAGGAUUAGAUACCCUGGUAGUCCAUGCCGUAAACGAUGAGUGCUAAGUGUUGGGAGGUUUCCGCCUCUCAGUGCUGCAGCUAACGCAUUAAGCACUCCGCCUGGGGAGUACGACCGCAAGGUUGAAACUCAAAGGAAUUGACGGGGGCCCGCACAAGCGGUGGAGCAUGUGGUUUAAUUCGAAGCAACGCGAAGAACCUUACCAGGUCUUGACAUCUAGUGCAAUCCGUCCAGAUACGGAGUUCCCUUCGGGGACACUAAGACAGGUGGUGCAUGGCUGUCGUCAGCUCGUGUCGUGAGAUGUUGGGUUAAGUCCCGCAACGAGCGCAACCCUUGUCAUUAGUUGCCAGCAUUAAGUUGGGCACUCUAAUGAGACUGCCGGUGACAAACCGGAGGAAGGUGGGGAUGACGUCAAGUCAUCAUGCCCCUUAUGACCUGGGCUACACACGUGCUACAAUGGACAGUACAACGAGGAGCAAGCCUGCGAAGGCAAGCGAAUCUCUUAAAGCUGUUCUCAGUUCGGACUGCAGUCUGCAACUCGACUGCACGAAGCUGGAAUCGCUAGUAAUCGCGGAUCAGCACGCCGCGGUGAAUACGUUCCCGGGCCUUGUACACACCGCCCGUCACACCAUGGGAGUCUGCAAUGCCCAAAGCCGGUGGCCUAACCUUCGGGAAGGAGCCGUCUAAGGC
RNAcentral lists this ribosomal RNA (1478 nucleotides) under Lactobacillus acidophilus. Its description in RNAcentral is "bacterial SSU rRNA". It matches the Rfam family "Bacterial small subunit ribosomal RNA". Lineage: Bacteria; Bacillati; Bacillota; Bacilli; Lactobacillales; Lactobacillaceae. The record is from RNAcentral.